UGGGUCAGUCGCAUAGUGGCAAUUGCAGAAGACUGUAAAUCUUCCCCGAAAGGUUCGUUGGUUCGAGUCCAACCUGACCCACCAU
RNAcentral lists this transfer RNA (85 nucleotides) under Bacillus phage vB_BanH_McCartney. RNAcentral's name for it is "tRNA-Tyr". It matches the Rfam family "tRNA". Rfam says of the family: Transfer RNA (tRNA) molecules are approximately 80 nucleotides in length. Their secondary structure includes four short double-helical elements and three loops (D, anti-codon, and T loops). Lineage: Duplodnaviria; Heunggongvirae; Uroviricota; Caudoviricetes; Herelleviridae. The record is from RNAcentral.